CCUACGGGAGGCAGCAGUGGGGAAUAUUGCACAAUGGCCGAAACCCUGAAGCAGCGACGCCGCGUGAGUGAAGAAGGAAUUCUUUAUUGUAAGCUUCAUCUGCAGGGAAGAAAAUGACGGUACGUGAGUAUGAAUCCCCGUCUAACUCCGUGCCAGCAGCCGCGGUAAUACGUAGGGAGCCAGCGUUAUCCGGAUUUACUGGGUGUAAAGGGAGCGUAGACGGCAGUGCAAGUCAGGAGUGAAAGUCGGUGGCUCAACCACCGGACUGCCUUUGAAACUGUACGGCUGGAGUGCAGGUGAGGUAGGUGGAAUGCCUGGUGUAGCGGUGAAAUGCGUAGAUAUUA
RNAcentral lists this ribosomal RNA (344 nucleotides) under uncultured bacterium. Its description in RNAcentral is "partial 16S ribosomal RNA". It matches the Rfam family "Bacterial small subunit ribosomal RNA", at positions 338 to 699 of the family's 1533-position model. The record is from RNAcentral.